CGUGGCUUGAAUAAGCGGCCACUUUAAUCUUAGCUGCGACUCGUUCCACUAACGAGGCUCAGCUGUUUUUCAUCAACGCUUAUUCAAGCCAGGCUAAUCCAAGCCGCGGCUAUGCGCGCCUCCGUGGUACAUAAAAAGCCCUGACGUAUCAAUUGUCGAAAUGACGAGAUCAUGGGAAAAAAAGGGCAGAGUGGAGUCUUUCUCAGCGGUGGAGCAAACACUCCUCAUGGAGUUGUACGAAGAGUACGAGGGAAAAUUUCAAAUGAAAGGCAACACUGUUGCCAUUGUGAGAUCGCAGACCAUUUAAAUUCGUAAGUUAUUGCCGACAAAUAUUUUACAACCGACGCAUUUCUCGAUGCAGUCAGCCUGCUUGGCUGUCUAAUUUUAUUCCUCACUUCUGCGUAUGUACUGUAAACACUUUAAAUUUUCAUCUCAUGUAUGUGCAGCUCACUCAUACAGUCUGUCAGCCUCUGUGCAGCACCUUUGCAGCAAGCAGGGCCACCUACAGCAGCAGGGGGCGCCAAUUUGACAAGAGUUAAUACAAAACCGCUUUGCGGUGCAGAUUUAUUAUCUUUUUUCUUUCUUUUUUGGAAGUGCUCAUGCCGCCCCCCAUGAGUCAUGACACAAAUGGGGGGCGGCCUGCUUGGCUGUCUAAAUGCCACCCUGGGCGGCUGCCCGGUCCGCCAGUGCCCGCCACUGCACUGUAGGCAUAAAUUAUGUUCUUGUUUUGGCAAAUAGAUAUCCAUAAUGGAUUAGUAUAGCAGCUACAGGUAAGACCUAAAACCAAAGUAGGCCCUUUUUUUUUUCUUUUCCUUUUUAUUAGGGAUGAUAGUGGCACAGCGCCCUUCAUUUAAAUAAGGGAGAAGACACAAAUGAGCUUUACAAAGAGUAGUCAUGUCGUCAUUUGCCAUCACCUUUACAUUAUCACCAUCAUAAUCAGAAUGGACCACUGGUGAAAUAGAGGGUUUUUUUAAUGGGAAAUUGUUGCUGUUGUCGCCUUCAGUGUUUUGGAUGAGAUCAUUUGUGCCUUUAUUCUGUUAUGUGUUGACAGUACAUUGAGAGUCACAGAAUAAAAGAAAGAAAAGCAGAUAUUUCCAAAUAAUUACCGCUGAUGGGAUUGAACCCACAGAGCAGUGAAAAACACAUUUUACCGGCACUUCUCUUUACCCACUCAGUUACUCAACUUCUCUUUCUAUUUGAGGUUGGCGUAGUGUUGGGCAUGUCCGGAUUCACGUAUUCCUAUGUUGUUUCAAAAAGCUCUCAAUUUAUUUUUCCGAACAAGAGUAUCAUUUAUUACAGAUAAAGAUGAAAUUACUGUGUGACAUGCGGUUCACAAAGCAUCUUCUGGAAGCCUGUCGGAACUUCUCUGAGACGCAGCUAAGGUUAGCUUGGUCGUAAGCCUGCCUGGAACCAGGCUUGUCGUGCUGGCUGAGUUACUAUGGUUACCGAGCCACGCUAGCCCCAAGCCUCGUUUGUGGAACCGAACUCUCACUAAAAUUAGCCAAGCUAACCGAAAUAAGCCAGGCUUUGAGCUAAGCCAGCUUGUGGAAUACCCCCCCAACUUUGGUAACGACUACAGGAUAGCAAUACACAGCGGUCUACAUCUCUACACACACCUCAACCAAAAGGCCACUCUAUAGCCACAAAUAAUGCUCAGAACAGCACCUAACUUCAUGAACAGAACAUACUGCACUCUGUGAUCGGCACAUCAGGGCUCCCCACCAAACAGCGGCUGCUGGAAGAGAGCGGGUAUGUUUUGUUUAGUCUCUUUGCCAAAGAAAUUAUGCAAAGCUAAAAAGAUGUUUGGUGGCUAGUAAUAUGGCUGGGACCCCAUAUGUACUGUUGAUGAAGUUAGGUGCUGUUCUGAGCAUUAUUUGUGGCUAUAGCCCUUUGAGGUCUCUUAAAGUAAAGAACACUACUAAUAAAAUGCAUUAUUAUUUUUAUUAUGAUUAUGAUUAUUAUUAUUAUUACAGAGUGGCUUUUUGGUUCAGGUGUGCACCUGGGGACGUCGAUUGCUGUGUAUUGCUAUCGUGUGUUUGUUGCUGAGGUUGGUAUAACUAUAGAAGCAAGUAAUCUGCAACAUUCAUCUCUCGAGGGGGUGUCUAACUCAGUGUUACGGUGUGUUUAUAACUUCAAUUUACGCCGGAAUAUUCCUUUAAGCUGAUCUAGGUAUCUGUUUAGAGAUUAGUAUCGGGGCCGGCUCUACGCUCAAACAAAUGGCCUGCCCCCUCAAAUCAAAUUUUUAAUAGGAGGUUUUCAGUCAUGUGAUCCUGACUUUGCGUGAGGACCAAAUGGAGGGCAGGAAGCAACCGACUGCAAUGGAGGAGAUACACUGGUUUAGAUGCAUGCCGGUAUUUAGCCUUAGAUGGAGUUUACCACCCGCUUUGGGCUGCAUUCCUAAACAACCCGACUCUGAGAAGACCAUACCCUGGCGCGACAGGGGCCGCUACCGGCCUCACACCUUCCACGGUAUUCGGCACUGGGCUCUUCCCUCUUCACUCGCCGCUACUGAGGGAAUCCUGGUUAUUUUCUUAUCCUCUGCUUAGUAAUAUGCUUAAAUUCAGCGGGUCGUCUCGUCUGAUCUGAGGUCGUAGUUGGAGGAUGGGGGGGGGGGGACCUUUUUCCCCGUCUGCCCCCCUCCCGGCGCGUCUGGCUGCUCAACACCCCCCUCCUAAAAAUGAGUCAUUACCUUUGACAAAGUGGUAACUACACAUACGGGCAUUAUCCGAUGCAGCUCCUCCAGACCGUAGCAGCUGGGUGCUGACUUUGUCUGCUGGUCUGUAUGUCAUCUGUGCUGCUGGUCUUGUUUAGAUUAGACCAGUGGUUCUCAAAUCCAGUCCUCGAGCCCCUCGAGCCCCCCCC
Molecule: non-coding RNA, 2862 nt
Organism: Xyrichtys novacula (pearly razorfish)
Lineage: Eukaryota; Metazoa; Chordata; Actinopteri; Labriformes; Labridae
Source: the annotation of a GenBank genome assembly